RNAcentral lists this small nucleolar RNA (133 nucleotides) under Tupaia belangeri (northern tree shrew). Its description in RNAcentral is "Small nucleolar RNA SNORA31 (ENSTBEG00000020897.1)". The record is from RNAcentral. Lineage: Eukaryota; Metazoa; Chordata; Mammalia; Scandentia; Tupaiidae.
CUGCAUCUAUGUGAUAGACCCAGGAAAUUACUGUCUUCUGCUAAGAUCUCCACUGUGGAUGCAAGGGAAAAGCCUCCUUGCACUUUUUGUCUGUCUGAUUAUGACAGCCAAGAUUAUAUAGAGGACUGUGUCA